RNAcentral lists this ribosomal RNA (482 nucleotides) under uncultured bacterium. RNAcentral's name for it is "partial 16S ribosomal RNA". It matches the Rfam family "Bacterial small subunit ribosomal RNA", at positions 30 to 507 of the family's 1533-position model. The record is from RNAcentral.
AUUGAACGCUGGCGGCAUGCCUUACACAUGCAAGUCGAACGGUAACGGGCCUUCGGGUGCCGACGAGUGGCGAACGGGCGAGUAAUACAUCGGAACGUGCCCGACCGUGGGGGAUAACGAGGCGAAAGCUUUGCUAAUACCGCAUACGAUCUACGGAUGAAAGCAGGGGACCGCAAGGCCUUGCGCGGACGGAGCGGCCGAUGGCAGAUUCGGCAGUUGGUGGGAUAAAAGCUUACCAAGCCGACGAUCUGUAGCUGGUCUGAGAGGAUGAUCAGCCACACUGGGACUGAGACACGGCCCAGACUCCUACGGGAGGCAGCAGUGGGGAAUUUUGGACAAUGGGCGCAAGCCUGAUCCAGACAUGCCGCGUGCAGGAUGAAGGCCUUCGGGUUGUAAACUGCUUUUGUACGGAACGAAAAGCCUUCUUUUAAUACAGGAGGGUCAUGACGGUACCGGAAGAAUAAGCACCGGCUAACUACGUG